Molecule: long non-coding RNA, 3081 nt
Organism: Lolium perenne
Lineage: Eukaryota; Viridiplantae; Streptophyta; Magnoliopsida; Poales; Poaceae
Source: RefSeq, a predicted model, not a curated record
UUUUUUGACGAGGAUUAUUGUUUUCUGUUUUUGGUUCCCAAAGUCCUCCUCUGAAAACAGAUCCGCACUAUGUAAGGUCAUGCAUCUAGGUAAACCAUCAUGUUCUUAUUUAUAGGUUUCCAUUAAUAAUCAUCACGUCUAAAAAGUUUCCUAGAUUUUUCGGAUCAUCAUUACUCUCAGAAAAGCUAAAAGCGACUAGAUUUUUUGAUCAUCCGGUCUAGAUUUAAUCUCGCUGAACAUGACAUUUUUGGUUUGCAGAUUAUAUAUUGUAUGGACUUCCUCUUCAUGUAUUAUUCGAUGUCGAGCUCGACAAAGUGUAGCAUUGAACUGGUGCAUAUGUGUCUAUGAAAUUUGGAGCAGGUACAUGAAUUUUACUUGGCAUAAAGAUUUCAGAUUGCUGCAGAUUGUUCCCUCUUUGUUUUUCUGCCCUUUGCUUUAUAUACUGAAGCUUUGGAUAUUUUUAUAAUCAUAGGUUGAGUCUGUUCACGUUUUGUUUGACCUUUUGCAGGAUAUCAGGUAAGUAUCCUCCCCACAGAAAGAAACAUGUAGCUAUAUGAUAUAUGAAAGAAAGCACAUUACGUGCUCCCCUUUUUUACAAACAUUUCUUAAUAGAAAGAGUUAAGGAAAUUGGUUAAUCAUAGUUUAUUGGCUGAACCGAUUAAGAUGAUUUGUUAAAACAAUGUCCAAGCAUAGAAGAAUCAUCCUCUGUUGAUCAUGUCCUUUAACCUUUCUUCUGUAAUGUGGCACGCUACGAAUGUCCAUAGUGAGAUAGCUGCUUUUUCUUAGUAGUUGCCUAGAUAUUUUAAUUAAUUACAUGAAGCGAAUUUUGCUUUGGUUCCCCAUAAAUAUAGCUGAUGUAUCCAUCUAUUUGAUUUUCUGCAUUUUUUUGAUCUUUUGGUUCAGGAGAGAUAGGAAAAUAUCAGAAUUGAGUUGUUUCCUGAAGUAAAUUAGCCAGCGGGCCUCACCCUGCGUUCCUGAAGUAGUUGAUAGUACUUUCAAACUUGCUUAGAUAGUAUUUUAUUGAGAUUUAGAUAUACCUUUUGAGUCUCAGUUAUCAAAUGAGUGAUUUAUUUAUUUUACUGUUCGUAAGGAAUGAUAACUUUGGCCUAUUAAAAUUUUGAAGUGUUCACCAUAGAUUUCUUAAUUCAUUCAUGCUAGCAUAAUAUAUUAUGUUUCUAACUAUGAACACUAAUUGUUCUCUGGUUUCGUCUUUACCCGUGAACGAUAUAACAAGACAUGUCGAUUCCUAUGUUUUGCAUCUAUACCACUCUGUUUACAGUAACAUUACAAAAAUUGUUGGUAUCCCUUUCCUAUUAUCACCUAACUAUUGUAAUAAUUGGAAGUCUACUUAUGUUUCUAAUAGUUUUCGACAGGAAAAUCAAGGCUGAGCUUUUGAUUACAUUUAGGUUCAAGAAAAAAAGUUCUCCCUCCGAUCCAUAUAUUGUACAUAAGUACAAAGUUUCUGGCACUUAUUAUUGAUCGGAGGGAGUAACUGAUUCAUUAAUAUGUGGAAAUACACUGGAAUGUAUGCCUUAAUAUAUGCAAUCAUUGGUAUUUGUUUCUAUUUUUUUAUAACUUAGUAGUUCCUAGCUAGCUUUAUAUGGCACAUGCAAUAGUAGUACUGCUAACUAUGCAAUCAUUAAUAUUUGUUUCUAUUCUCUUAUAUUUUUAUCAUAUAAUUGAGAGCGUAGUUUUUGGCAUGUCUCUGAAUUCAUUAAUAUUUCAUCGAAGGCUUCUUCAGAUGGCAUGAUCUCUGAAUUCUGUACUGAUAAAAAGUCUUUGUAUUCUAUGUGUUUAAAUAUAUGCUUUGGUCUGGCUAAAGAAAUGAAUAUGCUGGGAACUUAUGAAGCUGGAAUAAUUAUACUUGUACAUGGGCUUCUACCAUUUGACCAAUUGCCUGCCUAAUUUUUGUUCUCAUAUUUUGUUCAACCGAAUCCUGGUGAGUAACAUGGUACCUUUCUACAGACCCCUAUUUCUUGAUUGGAUUGCAGUGAAAGAAUUAUUAUGCAGUUCUUAGAGAAUUAAUGUAUUAUUUAAAUUCAAUGGACACAUUUUAGUAAAUUGAGCAUAUCUUGAUCGUUGUUGUUGCAAGUGGCUUGGUGAGAAAAGAUAGAUAAUGUAGGGCGGUUAUAUGCUUGCCUGACAUGCACACAUAUGCAUGGUGCAGAUGCCCAAGCAGAUGCACGCCAAUGUGCCUCUUUCUAUUGAUUUUUUUAUAAAAUAUAUUUAUCCUUAAAAAGGAACAAAUAUGGUACUUUGUUCUGUUACUUUGUUACUCUCUAUUGUAGUAAAUUAUAUAUAAAAAUUGCAAAAGGUUCAGUUGGCAGAAAAACUUGCAUUUUAUUUUUUUGAAAUUAAUUGAAUAUGAAACCAACUACUCAGAUGCGUCCAUUCUAUAUUUAUUAUGGGGGUCUUUCAUUUUGCUUCUAAUGGCUGCUUGCCAGCUAAUAGAAAUAAUAUUUUUGUUGUUGUUUUCCCAUAUCAUGAAGUUGAGCUUUAUCGAAUUGUUUGCGUGCCAAAUUUUCUUCUUCAGUUGUACUUGUGAUUGUAGUGUGCGCACAUCUUACCCGGGAAUUGGGACUAAUUGGUCUCGCUAUAAAGAGUAUACAACAGCAAUUCAAAUGCAAUCCCUGUGAUAUAACAAGGUACAUCACAUUGCUUCUAUUUUCCAGGUUUUGUUGCUUCGACCGGAAGAUGUCUACCUUUUAAACGUGCAUUGUGCAAAGAACUCUAGCUAGCUUGUUUAUGCUUCUCAGAGAUUACGCUGGAGUUCAACAUCAAUGAGCAUAUACAUGGUAUCGAUCUUUACUAGGAUGUGGUGUUGUGUCGAGGUACUGGUAGCGGCGCAGGAUACAGGGAACGUGAGAAGAGGCAGCACUGGGUGAGUCCUCGCUGCAACCAACCAGGGUUACUCUAUCCACGGUGAUCUUUGUUGGAUAAGCUGAAUCACCUACUGUGAUCUUUGUUGGAACCACUGUCCGGCUUGCGGAGGCACCGUGUGUGUUCGUCGGUCAGAUCCUGGCAGCGCGUGGGAGUAGAUAGACUUAGCAAAAGCAAGGAAUCCACGGCAGCGUCCAUAUC